UACGUAGGUGGCAAGCGUUGUCCGGAUUUACUGGGUUUAAAGGGUGCGUAGGUGGGUAAGUAAGUCAGUGGUGAAAUCUUCGAGCUUAACUCGGAAACUGCCAUUGAUACUAUUUAUCUUGAAUGCUUUGGAGGUAAGCGGAAUAUGUCAUGUAGCGGUGAAAUGCUUAGAUAUGACAUAGAACACCAAUUGCGAAGGCAGCUUACUACACAGUUAUUGACACUGAGGCACGAAAGCGUGGGGAUCAAACAGG
Molecule: ribosomal RNA, 253 nt
Filed under: uncultured bacterium
Lineage: Bacteria
Description: partial 16S ribosomal RNA
Rfam family: Bacterial small subunit ribosomal RNA
Source: RNAcentral